Molecule: ribosomal RNA, 408 nt
Filed under: uncultured Desulfobulbus sp.
Lineage: Bacteria; Pseudomonadati; Thermodesulfobacteriota; Desulfobulbia; Desulfobulbales; Desulfobulbaceae
Description: bacterial SSU rRNA
Rfam family: Bacterial small subunit ribosomal RNA
Source: RNAcentral
UUGACAUCCCGGAGACCCUUAGGAAACUAGGGGUGCUUCCAUCUGGAAGAAUCUGGAGACAGGUGCUGCAUGGCUGUCCCGUCAGCUCGUGUCGUGAGAUGUUGGGUUAAGUCCCGCAACGAGCGCAACCCUUGCCUUUAGUUGCCAGCAGUUCGGCUGGGCACUCUAAAGGGACUGCCGGUGUUAAACCGGAGGAAGGUGGGGAUGACGUCAAGUCCUCAUGGCCUUUAUGACCAGGGCUACACACGUACUACAAUGGCCGAUACAAAGGGCAGCGACACUGCGAGGUGAAGCCAAUCCCGUAAAAUCGGUCUCAGUCCGGAUUGGAGUCUGCAACUCGACUCCAUGAAGUUGGAAUCGCUAGUAAUCGUGGAUCAGCAUGCCACGGUGAAUACGUUCCCGGGCCUU